Molecule: ribosomal RNA, 207 nt
Filed under: uncultured bacterium
Lineage: Bacteria
Description: partial 16S ribosomal RNA
Rfam family: Bacterial small subunit ribosomal RNA
Source: RNAcentral
UGCGUAGGCGGUAUAACAAGUUGGUAGCGUAAUUCCGUGGCUCAACCGCGGAGCUACUACUAAAACUGUUAAACUCGAGUGCGGUAGGGGUAUGUGGAAUUCCUAGUGUAGCGGUGGAAUGCGUAGAUAUUAGGAGGAACACCGGAGGCGAAAGCGACAUACUGGGCCGUAACUGACGCUGAGGCACGAAAGCGUGGGGAGCAAACA